RNAcentral lists this ribosomal RNA (377 nucleotides) under uncultured eukaryote. RNAcentral's name for it is "partial 18S ribosomal RNA". It matches the Rfam family "Eukaryotic small subunit ribosomal RNA", at positions 592 to 976 of the family's 1831-position model. The record is from RNAcentral.
CAAUAGCGUAUAUUAAAGUUGUUGCAGUUAAAAAGCUCGUAGUUGGAUUUCGGGGCAGCCUGGCUGGUCCGCCGCAAGGCGAGUACUGGUCAGCCGCCCUUCCUCUCGAAAGCCCCGACUGCUCUUCGUUGCAGUGGUCGGGUAGUUCGGGACGUUUACUUUGAAAAAAUUAGAGUGUUCAAGGCAGGCCUACGCCUGAAUACAUUAGCAUGGAAUAAUGGAAGAGGACCUCGGUCCUAUUUUGUUGGUUCCCAGGGCCGAAGUAAUGAUUAAGAGGGACAGUUGGGGGCAUUCGUAUUUAAUUGUCAGAGGUGAAAUUCUCGGAUUUAUGAAAGACGAACAACUGCGAAAGCAUUUGCCAAGGAUGUUUUCAUUAA